GGACCGGUGGUGUAGUGGUAACACAUUGCGUCUGGACGUGGAAAGGGGUGGUUCGAUUCCACCCCGCUCCC
This 71-nucleotide transfer RNA is filed under the name Gongylonema pulchrum. It matches the Rfam family "tRNA". From Rfam's summary of the family: Transfer RNA (tRNA) molecules are approximately 80 nucleotides in length. The record is from Rfam by way of RNAcentral. Lineage: Eukaryota; Metazoa; Nematoda; Chromadorea; Rhabditida; Gongylonematidae.